CUCCCUUAGCUAAAAAUUUAGGUCAGUACUCCCUCCCAAAUUGCUCUCGGCCUCCAUCUGACUCAGUAUCGCGCUCACCCUCCCUCUGACUCAGUAUCGCGCUCAAUCCCCCUUACCAUCGCUCUCUCCUUUAAUCCCCCUCACCCUCUCAACCUCAUCGACCCUUGCUCUCACUCUCAGCAGGUUUUUCUUACUUCAAGCUCUGAUACAACAAGGCCCAGCAUAUAAUUUGUAGAAGUAAGGAGAUCGAAACGAAGAAGGAAGAGAUCGGCAAACUGAUUGCAGACCCACUCAGGCAACGAUUAAAGCAGAGAGAAGACUCUAGUGUGAAAUAGGAGCAACUGCAGUUUGAGAAAGCUGUCAAAGGCGCAAAUCAAGUUCUGUUCAUUGCUUCUGGAGACGACGAUACGAUUAAGUGUAGAAGCGGUGGGCUUAACUCUCCUCUCCAUUUUGCUGCAGCUAAAGAGCACAACGAGAUUAUUUCAUUGCUUUUGGAGAAUGGAGCUGAUGUAAACUCCAGAAAUUACUGUGGGCAGAUCAUGAUGGGAUAAUUGGACUCAUGCCUUGUAGUUUGCUGCUUGUGUUUGUGAGUUAUGUGAUGUAUAUAUGCCUUGUGGACUUAUGGAGCUGAUGUAAAUUCCAGAAAUUACUGUGGGCAGUUAAAACUCAAGUAGCCAUUAAGAUGCUUUCGCCAUCAUCAGUUCAGGGGUUUCAAGAAUUUCAUGGAGAGGCAAACAUCUUGCUGACUGAAAACUUCCAAGCCAAAGUAUCUGAUUUUGGCCUAUCCAGAAAUUUCCCUACAGACCUUGUGACACAUAUAACAACUGGCGUUGUUGGUACUCUCAGGUACCUUGACCCUGAGUAAGUAGUACUUCUAGAUUAAUUUUAGUUUACUGAUCAUCAUUAGUUUUUAAAUGAUUGUUGGCAUUAGCCAGAAAGAGAGGAAUACCUUGGGUGGAAGGGUUGCCAAUAUAAGUGCAGGAAGAAUUGCUGGAUAACAGUCUCCGGGGAGGUUGUUAUUCCUCUUUGAUCUUCUUUCUUUGGAUUGUGUUUAUGGGUUUGUUUUCCUUUUUUAUGAAAAAAGAAAAAGCUGCUAAUUCUAAGAAGAGAAAAGAAACACCAAGCCAAAGGAGAAGAAAUUAUAGCUUAGAGAUUCCUCUAUUGGUAAUCUUUCAGUAGCAGUGAUGGUUUACAAUUUUGAUUCGAAUUAGUUUACAAAUUUAUUGGAUAUCUUUUUACCUCCUCAGCUUAGCUUGAUAAGAGCACAUUAUAACCACUUAAGAAUAUAACUUGGUUGAAACAAUUCAGAACCCUCUCGGAGGUAGGUUCCAAGUAUUGGGUUAUCGGCAUACAAAAGCCAUUUUCAGUACUGCAUGCAAUAUAAUGUCCAGACUAACUAGAACAAUAUUCUCCAUCCAUAUAAUUUUGCUGUUUAAUGGUGAGAGUUCCUCACAGGGAACUCAUCAGUUUCGAUUAUAUCAAAUCUUGGGUGUCAUCAUUAUUGUUCUUACUUCUGGAUAUAUCAUUUUACUUAUUAAUCUAAAUAAAUGUUAUUUGCCAAAAACAUACUUUUUUUUUUUUUUCUCUCUCAUACCUAAUUCUUAAUUGAUUUUACAACUUAUCAACUCGAUCAGCUUUUAAACCAUAGAAUCCAACUUGAAACUAAUCAUCAACCGUCUGUGAUAUCAUCUUUUAAUUAGAAUAUUUGACUCAAACUAAUUGAUUUGUAUUACACUUAGCAAGACUCAAAAUUUCCAACCUCGAAUUUUAUGUUAUGUCGAGUAUUUUAUUACGUUUAAAAUAUUGUUCAUUAUGAGGUAAAACCUCAUCAGGGAAGGCCACAAGUAGUUCUGCACCUGUUUCCUAUUUUUUAUCAAUGUGGGUGAGGAUCUCCUUUAAACCUCCUCAAGUUGAGAUGGUUUUGGUGGGAGAACAAAUAAUUUAAAAUUUUUAGGAACAGGGACACAGCUGGAACUGACCCAAUUUCAUAAUCACUCUCCAAUCUGCUAAUUAAAUAAAGAAAGAAUGGUUUUGAAACCACCAAUAUUUGCAGGAUGAGCUGUGUAAUGGCAAUGACAUUGAUAAGCACACCUACUAGCAUGAGCAGAAAGCAAUCCUAUGGAGAAGGAUGGCUUGAUGGUGAACGCUACUGGGUUAAAUACUUCAAAUAUAGGUUUGGCUGAAAAUAUUUUCAGUCAUCUCCUAACUGGUCUGGGUGCUGGUUUCUUUGCAGUAUCUACUGGGUCUCCAGUUGAUGUGGUACACAUUCUGAAACCUAUUAGCCUUAAUAAUAAGUUUGGUGCUUCUAUUUAUGAUCAUAAGGAGCAAAUCUGAUAUAAAGAGCAUAAAGGUGAGGCUAGGGGCGAUUAAGAAGAGGAACGCUGUGCUGAAUACAUGUUGCUGAUCUUCUCAAGAUUGGCCUCGAUAUUAAUGUAUAUAGAAGGUUCUCACCCAAAAUAUAAAGAAGCUCAUUUUUGUGCUGCUGUAGGUGGAGCUAGGAGUAGCACAGCAGGUCGAAAAGGCAUGGCUGAUGCUCUAGCAGAUAUGACAAAAAGGUUUGAACUGAAGCUGAAGUUUCAGCCUCUGGUGUCAAGGUCCAUCGCUUGGGGGGGGGGGUGUUGCCCUCGGAGGCUUGAUCGUGGACACCAAGGUGUUCUACUGGCCUAGAAAGUAUUUUGUGCGCCUAGCUUUGCUGAUUCAAGGACAUGAGUAGGAAAAGGAGCUUUUCUUCAGCUUCAGAAGGCACUCUUUUAACUUGAAAGUUUGUUGGAUAGUUUUGUGAAUACUAAGUGCAAACCAAUUUGUUUCAGUGGAAGAGAAGAGGGAAGGCAGCAUAUACGCAGCACCAUAUUGAUGCAAUCAGAACAAAUUAAGUGGGCAAAAUUUGUUGUUAAAACAUAUAUGUAAGCAUAAUCGCAUCCAGCUAGUUAGUACUUAGGUUUAGGAACUUAUUUUGGUAACCUUGAUAUAUGAUAGACUUGCUAUAUUAAGGUUCUUUUGGUUUCAAUUGUGGUUGAUCCGAAUAUGAAUUUGCACUUUGGUUCCAAAGUUGGAUAUGACAAUGUAUGAAAUAGAUGGCAGUAAUCUAUGACAAUGUGGUAUUUUGGAUA
Rosa chinensis is the source of this 3110-nucleotide long non-coding RNA. RefSeq lists it as uncharacterized. The transcript is spliced from 10 exons. The record is from RefSeq and is a predicted model, not a curated record. Lineage: Eukaryota; Viridiplantae; Streptophyta; Magnoliopsida; Rosales; Rosaceae.